GCCUGCCUAGCUCAAUCGGAUAGAGCGUCAGACUCUUAUACCAGGUUGCAAUGUGCCUUAGGCGAUCUGAAGGCUGCGAGUUCGACCCUCGCGGUGGGCU
Molecule: non-coding RNA, 100 nt
Organism: Mucidula mucida
Lineage: Eukaryota; Fungi; Basidiomycota; Agaricomycetes; Agaricales; Physalacriaceae
Source: the annotation of a GenBank genome assembly